AGAAAGGUGGGGAUGCACUUUCUGCUUCCAAAAGUUUGGGGAAUUGCGUGGCUACUGUAACUGUGGAUUUUCUGUUCAUUGUCCUACCCAUACUUUUCUUUUUAACUGUUUUGGCAGAAUGGACAUUUAUANNNNNNNNNNNACUCAUUUUCUCCAUUACAACUAAAAGGGUUGUAACAUCUACUUCUUGUUCUGAAGGGUCCUUUUCUCUCAGGACAGUCAUUUCCUCAUACAGGGUUGUUGUGAUGGUUGUGACUUGCCUU
This 263-nucleotide unclassified non-coding RNA is filed under the name Hevea brasiliensis (rubber tree). The record is from RNAcentral. Lineage: Eukaryota; Viridiplantae; Streptophyta; Magnoliopsida; Malpighiales; Euphorbiaceae.